CCUGUUUAACAAAAACAUGUCUUUUUGAGUUAUUUUUAAAGUCUGACCUGCCCACUGAAGUUAUUUAAAUGGCCGCAGUAUUCUAACUGUGCAAAGGUAGCAUAAUCAUUAGUCUUUUAAUUGAAGGCUGGUAUGAACGGUUGGACGAGGUAUAAGCUGUUUCAUAUAAAUUUAUAAUAGAAUUUUAUAUUUUAGUCAAAAAGCUAAAAUUUAAUUAAAAGACGAGAAGACCCUAUAAAUCUUUAUACUUUACAUUGUUUAAAUUUUUUAGAUUAAUUUUAUUUUUAUAAUUUAAAGUAUUUUGUUGGGGUGAUAUUAAAAUUUAAUGAACUUUUAAUUAUUUAAAAUCAUUAAUUUAUGAGUUAUUGAUCCAUUAGUAGUGAUUAUAAGAUUAAGUUACUUUAGGGAUAACAGCGUAAUUUUUUUGGAGAGUUCAUAUCGAUAAAAAAGUUUGCGACCUCGAUGUUGGAUUAAGAUAUAUUUUUAGGUGUAGCCGCUUAAA
Molecule: ribosomal RNA, 502 nt
Filed under: Bactrocera musae
Lineage: Eukaryota; Metazoa; Arthropoda; Insecta; Diptera; Tephritidae
Description: partial large subunit ribosomal RNA
Rfam family: Bacterial large subunit ribosomal RNA
Source: RNAcentral